GCCCUGUAGCUCAGCCUGGUUGAGCGUUCGACUGAUAAUCGAAAGGUCCCGUGUUCAAAUCACGGCGGGGGCG
Molecule: transfer RNA, 73 nt
Filed under: Candidatus Woesearchaeota archaeon
Lineage: Archaea; Nanobdellati; Candidatus Woesearchaeota
Description: tRNA-Ile
Rfam family: tRNA
About the family: Transfer RNA (tRNA) molecules are approximately 80 nucleotides in length. Their secondary structure includes four short double-helical elements and three loops (D, anti-codon, and T loops).
Source: RNAcentral